RNAcentral lists this ribosomal RNA (465 nucleotides) under Vreelandella stevensii. Its description in RNAcentral is "partial 16S ribosomal RNA". It matches the Rfam family "Bacterial small subunit ribosomal RNA", at positions 338 to 795 of the family's 1533-position model. The record is from RNAcentral. Lineage: Bacteria; Pseudomonadati; Pseudomonadota; Gammaproteobacteria; Oceanospirillales; Halomonadaceae.
CCUACGGGGGGCUGCAGUGGGGAAUAUUGGACAAUGGGCGAAAGCCUGAUCCAGCCAUGCCGCGUGUGUGAAGAAGGCCUUCGGGUUGUAAAGCACUUUCAGUGGGGAAGAAAGCCUUGGGGCUAAUACCCUCGAGGAAGGACAUCACCCACAGAAGAAGCACCGGCUAACUCCGUGCCAGCAGCCGCGGUAAUACGGAGGGUGCGAGCGUUAAUCGGAAUUACUGGGCGUAAAGCGCGCGUAGGCGGUCUGAUAAGCCGGUUGUGAAAGCCCCGGGCUCAACCUGGGAACGGCAUCCGGAACUGUCAGGCUAGAGUGCAGGGGAGGAAGGUAGAAUUCCCGGUGUAGCGGUGAAAUGCGUAGAGAUCGGGAGGAAUACCAGUGGCGAAGGCGGCCUUCUGGACUGACACUGACGCUGAGGUGCGAAAGCGUGGGUAGCAAACAGGAUUAGAUACCCCUGUAGUC